CCACGGGCUGCUGCAGUGGGGAAUAUUGCACAAUGGAGGAAACUCUGAUGCAGCAACGCCGCGUGGAGGAUGACACUUUUCGGAGCGUAAACUCCUUUUAUAUAGGAAGAAGAUGACGGUACUAUAUGAAUAAGCGCCGGCUAACUCCGUGCCAGCAGCCGCGGUAAUACGGAGGGCGCAAGCGUUACUCGGAAUCACUGGGCGCAAAGAGCGUGUAGGCGGAUUAAAAAGUCAGAAGUGAAAUCCUAUAGCUUAACUAUAGAACUGCUUCUGAAACUCUUAAUCUAGAAUAUGGGAGAGGUAGAUGGAAUUUCUGGUGUAGGGGUAAAAUCCGUAGGGAUCAGAAGGAAUACCGAUUGCGAAGGCGAUCUACUAGAACAUUAUUGACGCUGAGACGCGAAAGCGUGGGGAGCAAACAGGAUUAGAUACCCCAGUAGUC
This 439-nucleotide ribosomal RNA is filed under the name uncultured bacterium. Its description in RNAcentral is "partial 16S ribosomal RNA". It matches the Rfam family "Bacterial small subunit ribosomal RNA", at positions 339 to 795 of the family's 1533-position model. The record is from RNAcentral.